Molecule: unclassified non-coding RNA, 2687 nt
Filed under: Anneissia japonica
Lineage: Eukaryota; Metazoa; Echinodermata; Crinoidea; Comatulida; Comatulidae
Description: serine/threonine-protein kinase TBK1-like, transcript variant X2
Source: RNAcentral
CUCGACCACAUCUAGCCGAAUCGACACGUACAACAUUUGUUGAUCAAAUCAAAAGUUUAAUAAACCGUCAAUCAGGAUGUCAAGACAAGAGCAACUAAAGAGUACAAGGUCCUACAUCUGGUACACAGGCCAUGUUCUUGGAACAGGAGCUACCUCUAAUGUGUAUAUUGGUAGACACAAGAAAACGGGAGAACAAGUAGCUGUAAAAACGUUCAACAGUGCAUCAUUUUCUCGACCACAUGAAGUCCAAGUACGGGAACUAGAUGUAAUUAGAAAACUAAAGCACAAGAAUAUUGUGGACUUGUUAGCGAUUGAAGAUGACCAGAUCACCAAACAACCUGUUAUCAUUAUGGAACUGUGUAUGGGAGGAUCCCUGUACAGCAUACUGGAGGAACCCCAGAAUAUCUUUGGACUGAAAGAGGAAGAGUUCCUGAUAGUUUUGAGGGAUGUCACCUCUGGAAUGAAAUACCUACGGGAAACUAAUAUUGUUCAUCGGGACCUGAAGCCAGGAAAUAUAAUGAGAGUUAUCGCAGAGGAUAACACAUCUAUUUAUAAGUUGGCAGAUUUUGGCGCAGCUAGAGAACUUCAAGAAGGAGGAGAGUUCAUGUCUCUCUAUGGGACAGAAGAAUAUUUGCAUCCAGACUUGUACCAGAGGGCAGUACUGAAAGUGGCAAAUCGAGGCAGGUAUUCUGCUAAGAUUGAUUUGUGGUCAGUUGGAGUGACCUUCUACCAUGUUGCAACUGGACAAUUACCAUUCAGGCCUUAUGGUGGCCGAAAAAAUAGAGAAACAAUGAUUUUUCUGACUACAAAGAAACCGAAUGGCGUGAUCAGCGGUGUCCAACAUGAAUCACCAAAUGGAAAGAUUGAUUGGUCCAGCCAACUCCCGGAAACAUGUCAUUUACCAAGACCUCUUAAGAGGCAAGUCCGACUGUUGCUUGCUGGGUUGUUGGAAUGUGAACUGGAUAAAAUGUUGUCGUUCAAUGAUUACUUCCACAUGGUCCAGGAAAUUCUUAAUCUUCAGAAGGUACAUGUGUUCAAUGCGGUCACUGCGCAAACAGUCAACAUCUACAUUCAUCCAGGGAGUGGAUGGGACAAGUUUACGAAAAGUGUUGAGGAGGAGACGCACAUUUCAACAGAACAGCAACUUUUGUGUUUCAAAGAUCAGAUCCUAGAUGUGAAUACUAUCUCUAUGGAUAACAGGAACUAUCCAGAGACCACGGCUCAGAAUCCAAUUAUCUUGCUUAGAAAGGACCUGAAGAAGUUUCCAUCACCCAUUCCACCUGAUAAACCCAAACUUCCCAAGAUCGCGACACCAUACAGCCUUGAAAAUGAUGCUCCUCUUGCAAAGAUUUGUUGCGGUUCAAUGUACUAUUACUUGACAAUUGUGCAGAGCCUCCUUUUGAUGCAAGAACAGAUGCGAUUAGCUGUAAACUGCUUCUGUGGGAUCUUGCAAAAUAAAAUCAAAGAGAGCCAGGUCAACCUUGAGACACUGAAGACCCACAAAGUAUAUAUUGAAGAAAAUUGUAAGUGGUUGAUGUCAAAUUUGGAUAUUGAUCUCCUACAAAUUAUUCCUGAUCAUUUGAAAGAUGAAAUCAAUGAAGAGUUGGAGAUGAGAGCCGCCUUACUGAAGGAGCAGCUGAUGCUAAUGCAGCAAGAAUACAAUCAAGAGAUAUUGGUAAAUUCAGUGCAUCCACUCUUUGACGAGUUUCAUAAACUCUUCAGAAAAAUCAUCCAGGAUAAUGUCUUGGAAGUUUCAUAUGAUGACCAGCAGAAGUGCCAGCCACAUGAACAUUGUUAUAAUAGAUUUGAAGUGCUGGUCAAAGGCACAAAAACAAUUUCGGAUCAAUUUCGGGAUGAUAAACGUGCCAAGCGUCUCGCUUACAAUGAGGAACAAAUACACAAAAUGGACAAACAAAAAUUGAGUAUGCAGUGCACACAGGGAAUGAGCUUACUCAACGAACAUUGUGAAUUAAAGUGGAGAGAGCAACACAACAGGCUUGGCAGCUGGUACACGAGAGCCUUUUUUGAGUUUCAGUCAGUCAUGAUCUUACUGCAGAAUACCGAAAACACAAUUAGAAUAUAUUGCGUUUUCAGAGAUCGUCUUGAUAAGCUCAAACGUCAACAUGAUAAAAUAAGUGACGAUGUCAAACAAGUGCUGAGGAAAGCUUUUCAGAAGAAGGACACCCUCUAUUUAAAAGGCAAAGAGCCUAGUCAAGCUAGGUCAAUGAUGAGCCCGACUUUCAUCCAUACCAGUCAGGAAAGAAUCAAAAGGAAAAAACAUGCACUUGUUACUAAAGACCAGUUUAAUCAGGGACAAUACAUCAUGACAACAAGAUCUUUAUGCAGAUGGUUACCAGUACAUUUUACAGUCAGCGAGCGGUCAGGGAAAAUUCCCUCAUUAAACACGCAUGGACCUCCGUCGCCAGUCAAAAAAAAAUUACUCUGCUGAUCCAAACAUUUUGUUGCCAAUUCCUAACAUUGUGGACAUGGUCUGGAAACACAGAUCUAUCCUUGAAUUCUAUUCCGGGACCCUAACCAAGACUUUAGCUGACCCCUUGGUUCCCGCCCCCUGCCAGAACUAUUGAACCCAAUGUCAGAAAAUUCCUGGAGCCACCACUGUCUACAGUAUUGCAAAUGAAUUAAUUGGAGAAAAAAAGAAAGUAACAAAUUGGCUGCGACAAACGAAG